CAACUCCGAGGCUGGUGAACAAACAGGUGUUGCUACCUUGGAGCCCACGGAACUCCUGCUUUCUUGCUGACCCUGAAAUCUGAGGGAAAUGAAGACCUUAAGCAUCACAUCUUGCAACCUGAAUAUUCCAUCUAUCGGAAAAGACACCUCCAGAAGGGCUCUCUUCAACCUCGCUGGAAAGGCCCCUAUCAGGGAAAUGUUAUGAUCGUCCAGGAAAAUGACGUUAGAUGCGAGCUGCCUGGAGGGGUUAGUUCUGUGCAGGGGAAGGAGUCCUACACAGCGUGCCCUGCACCCAUGCCUGGCUGCGCCUAACCAGUGAGACUGGUCCACUAGCUACUGGAUGAAGGAAGACUCCCAAGGGCU
This is a non-coding RNA of Delphinapterus leucas (beluga whale), 363 nucleotides long. Lineage: Eukaryota; Metazoa; Chordata; Mammalia; Artiodactyla; Monodontidae. The record is from RefSeq and is a predicted model, not a curated record.